This 280-nucleotide ribosomal RNA is filed under the name uncultured bacterium. RNAcentral's name for it is "partial 16S ribosomal RNA". It matches the Rfam family "Bacterial small subunit ribosomal RNA", at positions 332 to 610 of the family's 1533-position model. The record is from RNAcentral.
CAGUGUCUACGGGACGCAGCAGUGAGGAAUAUUGGUCAAUGGUCGGGAGACUGAACCAGCCAAGCCGCGUGAGGGAUGAAGGUACAGAGUAUCGUAAACCUCUUUUGUCAGGGAACAAAGGCGGGGACGCGUCCCCGGAUGAGUGUACCUGAAGAAAAAGCAUCGGCUAACUCCGUGCCAGCAGCCGCGGUAAUACGGAGGAUGCGAGCGUUAUCCGGAUUUAUUGGGUUUAAAGGGUGCGCAGGCGGGCUGUUAAGUCAGCGGUCAAAGCCCGGGGCUC